Molecule: ribosomal RNA, 504 nt
Filed under: uncultured bacterium
Lineage: Bacteria
Description: partial 16S ribosomal RNA
Rfam family: Bacterial small subunit ribosomal RNA
Source: RNAcentral
AUUGAACGCUGGCGGCAGGCCUAACACAUGCAAGUCGAACGGUAGCACAGAGAGCUUGCUCUCGGGUGACGAGUGGCGGACGGGUGAGUAAUGUCUGGGAAACUGCCCGAUGGAGGGGGAUAACUACUGGAAACGGUAGCUAAUACCGCAUAACGUCGCAAGACCAAAGUGGGGGACCUUCGGGCCUCACACCAUCGGAUGUGCCCAGAUGGGAUUAGCUAGUAGGUGGGGUAACGGCUCACCUAGGCGACGAUCCCUAGCUGGUCUGAGAGGAUGACCAGCCACACUGGAAAUGAGACACGGUCCAGACUCCUACGGGAGGCAGCAGUGGGGAAUAUUGCACAAUGGGCGCAAGCCUGAUGCAGCCAUGCCGCGUGUAUGAAGAAGGCCUUCGGGUUGUAAAGUACUUUCAGCGGGGAGGAAGGCGGUGAAGUUAAUAACUUCACCGAUUGACGUUACCCGCAGAAGAAGCACCGGCUAACUCCGUGCCAGCAGCCGCCGCAG